CGUAACAAGGUUUCUGUAGGUGAACCUGCAGAAGGAUCAUUAGUGAAGAUUUGGGCAGGCCAUACGGACGCCAAAAAGUGUCCCUGGCCGCCUACACCCACUAUACAUCCACAAACCCGUGUGCACUGUCUUAGGAGAAAGGCUUCAGAGAAGUUUUUUGUGGCCUCUCUUGGGGUCUUUCUUCGCUACAAACUCGAAUGGUUAGUAUGAACGUGGAACUUGGUUGGACCGUCACUGGCCAACAAACUAUACACAACUUUCGACAACGGAUCUCUUGGUUCUCCCAUCGAUGAACAACGCAGCGAAACGCGAUAGGUAAUGUGAAUUGCAGAAUUCCGUGAAUCAUCGAAUCUUUGAACGCACCUUGCGCUCUAUGGCAAUCCGUAGAGCAUGCCUGUUUGAGUGCCAUGAAAUCUCCCACCCCAAGCGGUUUUUGAAUGAAACGGCUUGGCGGAUGGGGUCUGGAUGGGUGCCUCUGCCUGCGCUACCCUGCACAGGCUCGCCCGAAAUGCAUGAGCGCCUUGAGACACUUUGCAUCCGCCUCUCUGUUUGGGAGGAGGCGGCCAAGCAGUGUUUUUCUCCUGGCAUGACAUGAUACGUCAUUUGCUAUGUCGCCUAAAGGAGGAAUGUUUGGUUGUGUCUGCGUGUGCUUCAAACUUGCCUCUGUGGCACAUCCCAAUUUCACUUCUGGUCUCAAAUCAGGUAGGAUCACCCGCUGAACUUAACCUUAUCAAAUAAGCGAAGGAAAUC
Molecule: ribosomal RNA, 750 nt
Filed under: uncultured eukaryote
Lineage: Eukaryota
Description: eukaryotic LSU rRNA
Rfam family: 5.8S ribosomal RNA (bases 255-408)
Source: RNAcentral